UUAGUUCCAUGCCGGUGAUAUUUUGAUCCAUAUGAUUUCGUUAAAACAUAAUAAAAUCCAUGAUCUGUGAGAUCUUAUGCAAGCAAUUCUAAAAUGGGCAUGGGUAAUCCAGAUGUUGAUUUGUUAUUUUCUGUGAAUCUUUGAACUGGAUUCUGUUACCGAACAGAGAUGUUUUCAUGGCUUGAAUAGGGGGUAUUUUCACAACCCAACCAAUUAAUUAGUUUCAAUCGGUCAGUGGAUCUAAUAAUUAUAGAUAUUUUUGGAAUAAAUUUAUUAAAAAGAUGAUCUGAAUACACCACGAGAUCUAUCGCAUAUGGUUGUGUUAUAAAUUGCAGACGUUGGGUGUGAGGUUCUUUUUUUUUUUUUUUUUUUUUUUUUUUUUUUUUUGGAC
RNAcentral lists this long non-coding RNA (391 nucleotides) under Elaeis guineensis (African oil palm). RNAcentral describes it as "long non-coding RNA (EGUI_LNC025356)". Lineage: Eukaryota; Viridiplantae; Streptophyta; Magnoliopsida; Arecales; Arecaceae. The record is from RNAcentral.